UAUGAGAAAAAGUCCUAUUUAGAAGCAAAAAAGCCGGGAAAUAGCAAGGCAUUGUCCUAUUUGAUUUUCGAAAUUCACAUAGUUUGAUUCUUGUUUGAGUUUAUGGUCCGGAGAAUUACGGGUCUAUUCUUGAUUCCGCUCCUGAAUAUGGAUAGUCCUCCUUCCUUCCAUAUGGAUGGUCCUACUUCGGUUAAUUACGGAUGGUCCUACGGAUAAAUCCUCCGGACUACUUCCCUCCAUAUGGAUGGUCCUACGGAUAAAUCCUCCGGACUACGGAUAAAUCCUGCGGACUCCGGACUCCGGACUACUUCUGUUAAUUACGGAUGGUCCUACGGAUAAAUCACCUGGACCUUUCUUUGGCCCUGCGGACGUAGGACCCUGGACCUUUCUUUGAUGGACUUCUUUAUCCAUUAGUCGUUAGGCGCAAAGAAUUUGCGAAAGAAGGUGAAAAGAAUAUUUCAUGAGUGCAAGGCUGAAACAUUAGAUACCGGAAGCCUACGGCUGGGUCAAGACGAUCCAUAAGACAGGGAUAUUGUAAGGCGCAAUUCAAUAUGCGAGGUCAAAUCAAUCAUUUUCAAGGUAGAAAGAAAAGCCCACCUAGCGGUCUAGAGGUAGAGGAGCCGGUCUAGGCUGGAGCUCAUCAGUAGUAAGAGGAGAGUCAUCAGUCGAUGUUUCAGAAGUAGCGGAAGUAGCCCUUCCUUGGUCUUGCCGCAAACAAAUAAAGUGGGUUUUUUCCUAUCCCCUCUUUUUUUGAAGGAGGAGAAGGGCUUGAAAGAGUUCACGAGGGGAAGGAGUAGUGGCUCGACCUCUUCUCUAAUAGAAAGAAGUGGAAAAGCAGAAGAGGAAGUACGAAAAGAAUAAGCCGGAUAACCAGAUACCGGGGGAAGAGAAUGCGAGUAGGUUCUCAUCAGUCUUUUUAUUAUCCGUAGUUUUGAAGAUGAAAAGAAGAAAGAGUGCGGUUCGGGUAGGAGCUGCUUCUUAGUCAAGCAAUUCCAGGGGUUUCGUUUACUCUAUAGGCCUAGCUUACUAAUCUAACUUCAUUCCCGAGGGCUGGCCGAGAGAGAGCAUUAGGAAUGGGAGAUUCUACCGCGGGGGGCCGUAGCAUCACUCCUUACUCCUUAAGAGCCGCGUAGUGGGCAUCAUUUCUUAACAAGAAGAAAGCGCAAAGAAUAUUGCGGAAAAGGAGAGGUUCAAAGAAGAUUUCCGCUUGAUCCAUAAAAUAGAGAAAGGCUUUAGUUUACUUGAGGCAGAUUUGCUUAGCUCUUCGUAGGACCCCACGGAGCGGAGAGGGAUGAAAUAGCGAGACCAAUCCAUAAAAUCAGAGGAAGAGCGACCAAGAGGACGAAAUGCAGCUCGACUUCCAGAGGCAUGAGACCUUUUUCCUGUUAAGUCAAAGUCGGGUGCGGGUUCCUUUUCUAGCCAGCCCGCCAACGGAUGGAAGUUGAGUUGCUAUCAUGACUUCCUUCUUCUUCUUUCUGGGAGUCCUCCGGACCGGUUCUUUCCUCAAAUCAGAGUUCAAAGGGCAACUGCAUUCCUUUUCCUCGUUCACUCGGUCUAUAGAAAUAGUUCAUGGCUAGGGCUACUAGUCGUCAUACUUCUUCUUUGAGAAAGAGAUGGAACUCGUUCUCAUUGUUCAUAUUGCCGCUAUAUGAGUGAAUUCACGAGAUUCAUAAGAAAAUAAUCGCUUUGCAACACAACAAGAGCGACAGCCUCAACCGGAACAAGGGCCUCAAUGAACAAGGGGUUAGGGAUUGAAUCCGAUCUAUCCUAUCAGAAAGAAAAAUCAGAAUAAUUCAUCGCUUAGCUACUCCAAGACCAAGCACUUCCUCAACAGCUAAAUGCCACUGCUGGUCGAACUGCCGGUUCUGGGUCUCGUCUUUGGUACUGGGCGAGCAGAUAUAUACCUGGGAGGGAUUCGGCAGAAUCAAGCAGUUUGCCUUCGGCCGAUCCUGAAGAGGUAGGGAAUUUGGGGUAAGCAAAUGCAAACUCUUUCCAUCCGUGAAUGAAUAAAGCCGUCUUCAAUGGAUGUUUUUGUACGCUUGUACGCUUUGAUGCUACUGAAUUUAUAUCAAAGCACAAAACAGGGCUCAAAUAACCCUAAGAACUUGCCAAGUUCCCACUUCCAUCCUAGUUUGGAUUGGGUUUUAUGCUACUGAAUUUAUGCAAAAACAAGGUAUUUCGAUUGUUUUCUUGCAUCCGGCCUAUAGCUCAAAGUGACUAAAUUGGCAUCCUUCGAGUAUCGUUCUUAAUAGUUUCGUCAGUCAUAAAAAACCGUGGGAACUAAUGGCCCCACUCCGCGGUGAGAACUUGCGAUGCAAACCAUGGAAGAUGCAAAUCGGUAAAGGAAUGAACCCAUUGACUCAAGCGCAAGAACUGGUAGAGACAGCAGUCCCCAACCGUGGAGGAAGGAAGUCGAGACUCCUAUACAUGAAUUUCAGGCGGAAGACAGAGCGGUUCAAACUUGCAGAGAGAGCGCAGAGUUUUUGAAUAGUCGAGUAAAUCAUAAGGCUUCUUCCCUGUCCGACCCGGAUCCUUCUCAUUCCCUUGCUCGAGAGAGAGAUUCCGCCGAGACUUUUCUACUACUUCUCUGAUAAUGACCGGGCCGCUGCCUCUUGGGAGAGCUGCUUUAGCGUUGAGACCCCUUUUUGUACUUAUUCCUCGGGUAAGCCGUUGAGACCCAAGUCCUACGGGAUUCUGGAGACCGAAUUUCAUAGAAUUCCGCCGACCCCACUAAUUCAGAGACAGCUUCUGAUCCCUUCUAGCCGAUACCGAGACAGAGACUGAUUUCUUCUUGUCUAGCUGCCGAAAGAUAAUAGUAAUAGUACUUCUCCUCUUCCGUAGGUCUCUCCGCAAAUUCUUUGCUCCUCUGACGGGGACUGAUGCGGAUACAGUCUAUUCACACCGCGAGUAAACUCCAACUAAGCAGCAAAGACGACUUCUUUAGCGGUUUCAAGUCGUCCACUCAACAAGGGUCGAGCGAGUCCCACUAAGAUCCUGCCUUUAGGUAGAGCGGCUUCUUUCACUCCGUAAUUCAGCCGAUCUUGCUGUUUUGACCUCAUUUGGCUCUAGGAUAAAAUCACACAAUUACGGAGUUCAAGUCCCCGCUCGGCCUCUAACUGGUAUGAGAUAAUAUAAUACCGACUGAAGACCCUCUUCUGAUAGCUUGAGGUCUAACCUAUCCUUCUAGGUCUCGCUUACUCAUGCAUUCUCAUACCGGGAAAAAGACCAAGUCUUCGAGGUUCCUCCUCGGAACCAUCUCCUAACCCUCCCACGGGGCGGUCGAGCCUAAUCUAGCCUACGAUGGAUGAGGGGAGAUUUCCUCUUCUUCUCCGGAACUCCAAGAGAGUAGCUUCCCCGCCGCAAGAGAUAAUUCAAGGGAUAAGGUCCGAGCCUUUUCCAGGCUGAUUUUCGGGAAGAGAUUCUUUCUCCAACCUAGCCUUUAAAGUUCUAGGUCUUACCCCUACGUGGGCCUUGUUCAUAGAAUGAAAUACCGGAGAACUCCUAAUCCACUCUACUAGGUCACAUCCAUCCGCGCCCUUGGAUCUGAGAACUUCUCCUUCAAGUUACCUUGCCGACUCCCCUACUUCAGGUUCAGGGGACCCUACUCUGACUUCUUAGUUCUCGCUUGAAGUGAGCACUUCUUCUUUCUCUGGAAGUUACCUGUGGCCGGUCAAUCCGGUAUCCCUUUCAGUUAGUCAUUCAAGGGGAAGGGAUUUCACUCUACGGGAUAGACUUCUUCGUCUAACUCUAGCUGAGGCUUCUCGGGCGGGCUAAGAGGGAAUUCCGCUUCCUUUUCUUUCUUCUUCCCUUGCCGGUGCUUUCGGAAACUUAGAAUAAGCGAAUGAAAAAAGGUCGGCGACCACCCUACUAAUUCUGGUCUCGGCCUCGGGAUAGACUUCCAAAGAGAAAGAGAGAGGGAUGAAAGAGGUUAUGCACGGCGUCCAAUGGGAUAGUUUGACGGGAGAUCCUAUGAGACCCUUCCAGGUGGGGAUCCCUCUGCCUCUGAUGAAUCAGACUCCGCCUGCUCCGGUACCGCACCCCUCCUGCUCCGUGGGCAUUGACUCUUAGGCGAAGGACUGAUUUAUCAAGCUUAGUCUCCUUUCGUACUCUGACUCUUGGGAGAGCUUAUUUACGGGAGGAGAUCUGUAACUCCAACAAGUCAAUGAUUAGGGGAGCUUUCUCUUUCUUCUGAAACCCCUUGUUCAUUCAGGCUAGGCUUUCUCUUCAAAGUCAGAGCUAUCCAAAAUCUCAUAUUUCAUUGACCCGCAAAGAAUAUUGCGAGAAGAAGGCUGAAUUCCAUUUUCGAGUAGCCUUAGGCUCAAUGCAAUUUGAGUUGCGAAAGCUGCUCAAACUUGUGGUAAAGGGUAGAUUCUACGCAUAUUGAAUUGCGCCUCAUCUAGAGCUUUUUUUUGUUUUCGGAGCUUCUUUACCGAAGGCGUCACAGGUCCGAAGGACUAUCCAUAUUAACCUGCGACUGAGGACCUGUCUCGCAAUAUCCUUUGCUUUGCGCCUUAUCCAUAGAUCUUUGCGCCUCUCGCUUCGCGCCUAGAGAAAGAAACUGCCGAUUUCCUUCCGACCACGCGUCCUCCUUCUGACCGUCAAAGCUUAGUGAUUUACUUAGGCCUUUCCCGCUACGUGGGCCGAUGCGCUGGUGGGGACGGACGUCUAUGAUCAUCCUCUUCUUUAUUGCUUUCUGCCUCAGAAAGGUGCGGAUUCAGUCCCUUGACCCGAGUCCGAGUCGAGCAGCCGAUCCAUGGUUGGGGAGUUUGAAUGCUGGGGCACGUGCAAUCACUUUUCUUUCAACUUAAGGAAAUUGUCCUCUUCUCGAGCCUAACCUAGGAGUGGGGCCUAAUUAGUCGAUUUGACUCUUGGGAUGAUUCCACGUGAUCGGAUAGUCAAAUACCGGGUUUGAAUGUGAUUCGAAUGAAAGCAAGGGUCGAAGCGCGAACAAUGAUAGAUAGGAGGAUCGCUUCGGGUUAGGGGGCAGGGAGAGAGGGUAUUUGCCCGAUAUGAGCAAGACCUAUUAAGGAAUCCGCAUAUCUUAAGCAAAUGCUCACAUCGAUUUAUGCGAGGCGCGAAGCCUUCACCUUUUCCCAGCUUCGAUUCCUUACCUCGCCUAUUUUUUGGAAUCUUUGCUCCGAAGGCUCUCAGAAAUUGAGUUCUGUCCGUAGGCUGAUUAUUUCAGACUGAAGCUCUCAGAAAUUGAGUUGCCGUAGUAGGGUUGAAGACUCCGUCCUUUCUAUCUCCUUCUACUCAGUCGACUGAAUAUUCAUUGACCCUCUUAUCGACUACCUCUCUCCUCUCACAAGAUCCAGUCAAUUAAUUACAUACAAGAGACCGCGUAGUGGGCCAUAGAUCUUUGCACCGCUCCGUGGUCCUCCGGACUAUCCAUUAGAUGGAAGGUGGGCUUUCUUCUUCUUCCGAAAGAUUAUUUAAAAGGAUAUGAAGAGUCAGUGGGAGGGGGCUCUUUGCACUCCGAAAAAGUGCUCGUAAAAGAUAUUCAAUAUAAGUAGUAAUUCAAGCUCUUCUUCUUUAUUAAUUCAAGAUUCUUUCUCUGCUCAAGUAAGGAAAAGAUAUUGAUUACUAUCUCUCUAUCUCUCUUAUAAUAGAGACCGAAAGAAAGGGGAAAGAGAUGGUACCCGCCAUUUUCCCGUGGGUAUAUUGAAUGAAAGUGCCUCUCGUUAUAAAGCUAGAGGGUCGCGCGGUCCAUUCCCAUCAUGGGAGUCACGGCAGUCUUGGGUCACCUUUCGGCUGGGGGUCCAUUUGUGCCUAUCUGAGGCGGAAAAAUCCCUGUGGGGGAAAUUUGCACUCGGUGAAGGAAGGCCGGCUGCACUCGUGAAAAAAAGGAGUCUUUACAGGGCGGCCCCACAGCGGCCUACUUAUCAAAAGGCUCCGAGAGCACGAUGAGUGGCUCGAUGUCGGAUCCCAUGCUUCAAAGUGCAGUAGUGCUAAGGUAUCCUAGGAUGCGGCAAAUAUGGGAAGAUUCCCACUGCGAGAGAAAAGGCUUGGGGAGCGAAUCGCAGGCUAUCUUUGGUGGCCGGACCCCUAUAAAUGUUCGGAACUUGGGGAUAAGUAUUUCCUCCUCGAUUGGGUGGCCUUAGUCUGCCACAGGCCGGUCAAGACUAGGCAACUCUUGAUCCCAAGUACUCAAAAAACCCUCUUCCUUACUAGACUUUCAAGGGUACUACAAGUAUACAGGGGAAGGAGCAAUAUUCCGGAUGACUGAUAUGAUCUAUGGGCGAUAGAUGAAUUUAGAGAGUCAGACGGCGAAUGGGGUUCUCAGCCUGGAGGAUAUUUGGCCCAAAUGUCAAAUUUUCUCUUUUCUCAGAAAGGAAAUGUGCCUAUUAUCUUUUUUGGGAAUGAGCUCCCACGGAUCUUUAAGGAAAGGGGACCGUAGGCCGAAAGAAGAAUCCCCUUACAUUUUCUAUCGCAAUCUUCGAAGCUCGGCUGAUCUCGACGUUUUGGAAGUGUUUAGAAAUCCGGGCGGGCACCCAGGACCAGAUUGGCAACCCCCCCAUUUUAUACAUUACGCCUUCAUUCAUUCUUUAGAAAGAAAAAAAAGACAUAGUCAUAGAGCGGUAUAUCUCUGUCGGGCUUCUACAAAUAUUGGGGAAGGAAUACCUUCUUUUCUUCCAUUAGGAAAGAGAAGAAAGACAAGAAGACGGACAAACUUAUAUGGCACAUUAACCAGAAUAAGUUGGGAGAAGGCGGGAUGAACCUUCUCAACUUUGCCUUAGUCCCUAUCCCGGGUAAAGAAAGAGGUGGAAUAAUCUGAUUUCAAAAAAGAAGGUAAUCUUCAUAGACACUGGAACCCAGUGCAGCCUUGACUACAUACAAUGGCCAUAUUUCAAGGUACGGGCUUAGGGGCGAUUCCUGAAAUUUCAAUGUCAAAAUCCUAUAAAUGAGAUAUUUACGAUGAGGAGAACAGUCCCCGCCCUACCUACUAAAAGGGUUUAGAGAACCUUUCAUUUCAAGUCAGAAGAGCGAUCAGGGAGACCACGAUGAAGGAAGCCACAUACUUGUCGGGGGUCCAGCACUGGACUCAACUUUCUUUUCUUUUUGCUUCAGAGCAUUUGACGUCAGGUUGCUCGGCUCUCUACAAGAGAGCCUUUCCUCAGAUUCAAAGAUUUAGAAGAGAAAGAGCGGAUAAAAGGGGGUGGGGCUGAAGUUUCUUUAGUUGUGGAAGCCUAAGCCAGAAUGAAUUACAUAAGAAAGGAAGACAGCCUCAUCGGUCGUAUUCAUACCGAGUCAAUAAGCUUUACGCUCAAUGAGAUCUCUUCAUCUUCGGUUUGUUCCGGGAUCUCUAAAAAAGAGAGUAGGCUUCUGCCUCUGGGCGAAAUUUUGGAGUCUCGUCUUUGGUAAAAAGCUUAGUGAAACUUCCGACUCUCGAUCUCCCGUCCACGGAAAAUCUGUGACUGACUCAACUCUGAAUCACUAUCCUUCAUUCUUAGGAGUGCAAUGAACCCACUCCGCGGUUUCCCAGUGGGUCCUACUUCGGUGUCCUACUUCCGGAUGGUCCUACUUCGGUUAAUUACGGAUGGUCCUACUUCGGUUAAUUACGGAUGGUCCUACUUCCAUAUGGAUAGUCCUACUUCCUUCCAUAUGGAUGGUCCUACGGAUAAAUCCUCCGGACGUAGGAUAAAUCCUGCGGACUCCGGACCCUGGACCUUUCUUUCUUUAAUGGAUAGUCCUACGGAUAAAUCCUCCGGACUCCGGACGUAGGAUAAAUCCUGCGGACUGCGGACCUGUCCAAAACUUUCUUUCUUGACCUCGCAAUAUUCUUUGCACCUCCGGCUCAAUUUCAUCUCUAAGCUCCGUGGGAACUGAAAAAUGGAGUUGGCUUUUAUGUGAUCAUGCAUUUUCUGAAUGAAGGAUUGAUAGUUUUUUCUUGGUUUAGGUGACUCAAUUGAAUCUCGCCUUCUACGCCGGCUGGGUCGGAAUCUGAAUAUGUGGAUGAAAGACGGAGGAUCGGAAGACUCGCUGCCUUUCUGCCUUCUUGCCUCAUCCCGGGUAGGGCAUUUCUAGGGGGCAAGCUGAAAAUUGAGAUGUGGAUCCUUCAAAGUAGGCGUUAAAGAUGAACCGACGCAAUAUUCUUUGCGCCAUUAAUUCCAUUGAAUUUGAACUAAAUAAGAAGAACGAAUCUUGCAUUGAGCCUUUGUUUUUGCUGCAACAUCAACGGAUUCAGCCACUUUCAACCUCAAAAUAAUACUGAAAGAGCCAAGUCUGAAGUACGGAUUUACGAAGGAAGGGGAUUAGAUUGUUCUAACCGCCUGUCUGACGCUUGAAAUUUCUCUCUUUUUUUGGGGGUACCCGAAAGGCGUCCUCAGUCAGAUGCCACUUUUCUUGAAUAAAGCGAUAGCCGAGAGAGUCGACUUCCCUCGUUCUAAGAUUACUUAAGGCUUCCUUCAAUCCAUUCGAUAGCCUCUUGUCUUCUUACCGCUACGUGGGGAAAGCGAAAGACAUAGGCUUGAAAGAAAGAAAAGUUCAGACCUUUCCAUGGCAGUCUUAAAUAGAGCAGAGUCAGAGGCAAAAGGAUUUGACGCAAGUUGAAGCUAAGGAUCGACAGAAAGCUAGGUGUCCUUCUCCCUUCUUAUCCUAAGGAACUCGCAGAGUUAACGAGAUCUCGCAGAUAUAUAGCCAAGUGAUUCACCACGCCAAUAGGUGGGUUUUGAUAGUCAGUCAGAAAUUCAGAUAGAAGGCACCGCUGGAACUUGUGCAUGCUUAUACUAGGGAAAGAGCUCUUCAAUUCAUUCCCCGCUCUCCUGAGGUCGUGACAAGGUUCAAAGAAGAUUGAAGUAGUGGGCUGCGCUUUGGGGCUUUUGGCUAUGCGUAGAUAUUCUGGUAAGACCAAUAUAGUACGGAAGCAUCUCGGAUGAAGAAGAGGUGCAAAGAAUAUUGCGUUGAGGACUCGGAAUGAAUAAAAAGAAUGCCUGUUGAAUGAUCAGUUUCUCUUGAAUAAGCUAGAUCUCUUGUUCCAUUUCAUCAACAAUCGUAAGCGAAAAGAUUAUAUAGAUAGGAGUAGGAGCAAUCUGGGGAUUCAAAGAGGCAGGUCGCAGAAGAGAAGAAAGCCUAGGGCUCUCAAAUAGAGAAAAAAGGUAAAUAGAGGCCAAUAGGCUUACGACGACGCGACUUCUCUUUCUGAAACUUGAUGGAAGGACUGACGGCUUUCCUCUUACUAUUACGUCUUAGGCCCACGUAGCGGUAGGCUUUCGCAGCUGCCGAAACCUCUAAGUCUGAUCCUUACCCCUUUGACUUCUGAAUUACCGCGAGUACUCUUUAUGGAGUCUUUUCCCUUUUCUUGGUCGUAUGAGUCCUUCGUCUUGGAUCUGGCGGGAAAGCCUCAUUCAUUGAUCUAUUUCUUAGAAAGAAUAGCUUAUUCUUAAGAAAGCGGACGGACUCAGCCUUUUCUUCUCAUGCCCUUCUUUAUGCCUCUUCCUUCGAUCUCCGGCGUGCGGGUCGAGCGCGUCAAUAUUCUUUUCACCUCUUUUCCUUGCGAGUUUGUCCAGUUAGUUCGGGAACCUAGGCUUUCUUCUUCUUUCCCAUGAGAACUUCCUAGUGAAUCUCGUAUUAAUCAGCAUCAAAAUCUCAAUCGCAUAUUUCAUUCCGCCUCCAACACGCUCUUUGCUUUGAGCAAUAUGCGCCUCCGGCUUAAAUAAGCGAGUCAUGAUUCCGCUAAAGUUUCAGACCUUAGGCUCCAUAAGACAGGUCCGAAGGACUAUCCAUAUUAACCCAGAUUUCGAGACCGCUCCUCUUGAGUCUGAUUCCAAUAAUAUCCGUCAUGAUCCCUUAUAAAGCAGUUUCAGACCUUAGGAGCUAUUCCAAAAACGAGCUCUUAAAUCCCCACGGUGCGGUAGUUUAAUCUUUCAGCCUUGCACUCCUUUCUUCUUUUCCGAAAUAUUCUUUCGCCUGAAUCCAUAAAUAAAUAGAUAGAAGUCGGGGCUCCAAUCAAGGCGGUCGAUGAUUCGGCGUAAAAGUUGUUUUCAUCGCUUUAAGAACAAAAAAGACAGUCUUAGCCGCCAUUCGAAGGAUCGGAUAGAAGCUGCUCUCUUUCUUUAUUCCUUGUUCAUAUCCUCUUAUUAGUUACGGGUUACGAAGGAGAGGGGUUUUAGGGGUUUAUGGACUUGACACAGAGUCAUCCCUCUCUCUAAGUAUUAAUUAGUCUAAGUCGGUGCUAUCCCAUUCAGAUAGGGAUCCCUUUAUCCCCAGACAAAUCUGGCUCGGAACAGUAAUAAGUAUCAGUAGCCACAGAAAAGGGGGAAGACUUGGAACUUCAAGCAGAAUCCGGAAAAAUAAUGGAUUUCUAGUCCUUCGCCUAAUGAAUAUGGGGAUCUGGACGGCGGAGCAAAGAAUAUUGCCUUCCACUUUGAGAGGUUAUGCUAGAUUAUAUAUAUAGUAAAUAGGUGGUUAGAGAAUGAGUCAGACGAAGGAUCCACGUAGAAGCCGCUAUCCCGACGGUCUGUCUUGAUCAGGUGCGGAUGCUACGGAGCGGCCAAAGACUGGAAAGGAGAGGGGCGAAGCGAAUGGAAGAUCAAUCCUCGGUUCCUAGAAAAAGAAAGCGGAAAACGCAAGUCAAAUUCUCUAAUGGAUAGGCCUUCUCGCAAUAUUCUGCGCAUCUGCGUCCUUCUUUUUCGCAUAUUUCAUUGCGCUGUCAAAAUGAAAUUAAUGGAAUAACUUCGCCUAAACUUGAAAGAAAGGUCCAAAGCCCUUCGUUAAUUACGGAUAGUCCUACUUCCUUCCCUCCAUAUGGAUGGUCCUACUUCGGUUAAUUACGGAUGGUCCUACGGAUAAAUCCUCCGGACUACUUCCCUCCAUAUGGAUGGUCCUACGGAUAAAUCCUCCGGACUACGGAUAAAUCCUGCGGACGUAGGACUCCGGACUACUUCCAUAUGGAUAGUCCUACGGAUAAAUCCUGCGGACGUAGGACUCCGGACUGGAUCUUGUUGGGCGAAACUGCUCAAGAAAUCAGAAUCUAUGAACAUAGGCUUUCUCUUUUCAUUGACUUAUGUCUCUUCCGAGACUGAGUCCUCUGACUUUCUCGCUGCCGAUGCAUGCCUCUUCUCUUGUCGACUUUGUCCUGAUUGUAGUACGCGCCUUCUCCUUGGAUACCGCCGCUACGUGGGCCUCAUCCUAUGGUUCGUGGGAUAGGGCUUUCAGUCUUCCUUGUCGAGCCGGUUCGGCGCCGCAGCACCUUUGCAGUGGAGAAAGAUUACUCUGGAUGUGCCAAUAAGACUAACGGAUGUUUCCUAGCCCGAGUCAACGUCAAUAUUCUUUUCACCUUCCUCAACUUCCCUUUCCGCCUCCCGUUCUUUCAGUUACGGGGAUUCAGGUCAAUGCCUUUCUAAAUCUACAUUAUUCAAAAAUCAUAAAUAGCUUGACUCAACGACAAGAACUGAAAGAGCUACCGGAACUGCUGCCCUUGAACCUCGAGCCUUUGCCUAGGCCUCUGCUGAACUCUACUUCUUGACUUUUGACUCAUACGAGUGGAUACUUCCCUCUCUACACAAAAGUCCUCAAUUGAAUCGAGACCGAAAGGGUUGAGUUUGGGGGUGGGGAUGAUUUGAGAAGAAAACUUCCGACUCCCUUCCACCUACCUUCCCACUUGCGAUGAAAAGAAGGAGGAAAAGGAAAGCAAGGAUGCUCGAGGGCCUAAUUCUUCUUCUUUUUUCUCUGAUCCAGAGCAGUGGUCUUAAGCAUAUAAGUCCAAAAAGUGCAUCUCAUGCGAAUAAAGAAAUAAACGAAAGAAAUGGAAGAAGGCCUUGGUGAUAAAGCUAUCUCGUCCCUCACCGCUACGUGGGCUCCAAGGUUUAUCCUUUUCUUAAGGAAUAUAUUCUCAUAAAAGAAGGGUGCGUCGGUUUAGCUUUAGCUAGGAGUCCCGCCUAGCUUCCGAACUUGCCAAGAAUUCGCGAUUGAAUAUUUUUUUCCGCUUCCUCGACGGGACCAUCGGGUCUCCAAACUGAGAACGACCAGCUUACUUGAAUGAAGAAAGAGAUAUCUCUCUUGUCCCACUUGGAUUUUUUUUCACAGCUAGAUAGAGUGAUAUUCACAGGAAAAGAUGUCUAAGCUCUAUUUGGACCGGGUCUCACCUCUGUCCAGGGCUUGACUAAAGAGUACUGGAUAUAUAGAUCUACUUUUAGUUGUGAAAGAAAGGAAUAAUAGGAUCCAUUCUCUAUUAAUAUCCAUUUAGUUGGUUCAACUCCUGCUUCAACUGCUAUUGACCCAUUCCCAAGUCAAAUAUGGUCAAAAAUGCUAAUCUGCCCAAUUAUUUGAGAUAUGCUUAAGAUAUCCGAAAUUCUUCAGUGCUAGCCCUGCUCAAUUCCUAAGAACCGAAAGUUUGCGGGAGGUGGCUCAGCCCGCUCCUUCUUCCUCACCGCUACGUGGGCGGGACCGGCCAUCACAGGGGACGUGAGAGAGGAAAGAAGAAGGCAAUAAGCGAUCUUUAGUUCUUUUUUUCAUGGUAUCUGCCUAGGGAUCAAGGAGGCUUGACUUGGCUAGGGACGAGAAUAAUAUAAGACCUCUGCGCUGCCCUUUCCGGCCAAUGCCCAAUACCGAGUUAUGGCUUUGCCUUGAGGUAUCCUCCCAUCUCCGUAUCGUGAGAAUGUCCUUGAGACUGUGGAAAGCAAUUCCUUCCUUUUUUUUCUCUUUAGCUUUUUUCAAUAUUCUUUGAACCUAGGUCACUUUAGUAGUUCUAGCUGCUGACCCGAAGGACAGCUUUCCACAAUUCCUUAUUUAUACUUCGUUGACCGGUCCGCUCCGUCGCAAGUCAAAUUCUCUAAUGGAUAGGCCUUGCUCCUUCGAAUAUGAAUUCAGCUUUUUUAAGCGGCUGCAAUCAGUCUGAAUUUCUGAUCAUGAAUCUUCAACCUUGUUUUUGAAUUGAGCUUUUUUAAGCGGCUGCAAUAUAGCUUUCAUAAGCCUAGGACGCAAUAUUCUUUGCGCCUCCGGACGGGUUCCCCGCAUAUUUCAUUCCGCCUUCGGACCUGUCCUCCGGACUAUCCAUAUUUAUUAACCCGAGCCUUUUUCCAUUGAAUUUCUGAUUUCAGAGGACUUCUAAUCAAUGAACAUCCAUAAAUAAAUAGGGGUCUUUCAAUUGCUUUUUGAUUCUGUGCGCGCUAAGAUUUGAGUCUUGAAAGUGGUGAAGCGAGGGACUGGUCUUUGCCCCUAAUCAAGGAUUUCUUCCUCUUCUUGACUGCCUUUGCCACAUUCUCCUACUCAGGUCUAGCUCUCACCUGUGCAAGCAUCAGAAGAUGGAUUCUCGCGAUCUACAGAGUCCUUAUGGCUUGCUUUUUUAGUCGGCCUCAGUAGCUUAAUAUGGAUAGGUUGAAUAGUCCGGAGAAAUAAUAGUACUUUGUCUUUGUCUUAAUCUGUGGAUAAAAAAGGUCAUCUGGACCUUUGUUUUUGGGUGAAAGAAGGUGAUGAGGACCUCGCAUCUACGUGCAAAAAGUUGGAGAACUAAGAAAGACCUUACUCUGCAUCAGUCUCAUGAUCCUCCCUGGGCGCCAGGCUGGGACCGCACAUGAAAGACGAGAGGAGAUAUUCUAGGCGGACGAAAGAGUAUUUUACUAUCAAAUUGGAUAUGUCAGCAAGAGAAGAAGAAGAAAACUGGACAUGGCUUUGGCUGCUUAAACUGCCCUUGGGAUAGAAGAGAAAUAUGAACUCUCCACUCCGCCUCUUCUUUCGGAGAAAAAAUGGCAUUAGAAGUAGGAGUCAAUUUGGAUAUGAACCACUUCCUUUCCUAUCUUAUUAUUCAUUUGAAAAAAGGUAAGGUUCAAUUUCCCUAUUGUAUUAGGUCUGUGAUCAGUCUUCGAUUCCUUAGAAGCCUUACAAGAGGUUCCAGGCUUUUUUUGAUUUUCCUUUUACAUAGGUCGCAUUCAAAAUUACCUUCCAUUAUUCCUCUCGCUACGAUGAGGGUAUUGAAAUAAGAAGAACCCUGGCGGUACCAGCUAAGACUUUCCGGGAUAGUAUUAGGAUCCAUGAAAGAUCCUUUUUUCCUAGCCUUCCGGCCCCUUUCCUUACUUCUUAGGAGAAUUGAUAGAAUAGAGGCUGGAUCAAUAGCAAUAGUAAGAUACUACAGAUCCCUUGCCCUUUCAGGUGGUGAGGAAGGUAGAUGCUUUGAAUAAAAUGCAAACUGAGAAGACUGCUAGUUAGGUUGCAAGGAAGAAUUUCUCCUGAGAAUCUUAAGUGAAUCUAAGAAAAAAGAUUUGUGCUUUUCUAGUCUUAGAAAGUCUCCUAUCUGUGGCUAGAAGAGAGUUGCCGAUCGACCAAAGAAGAAAAUUCGGGAAAAUCUCCUAUUAAUUCCACUAAGAGGGAUUUCUUCAUAUAGUCAGAAUCGUACCAGGGAAGACUAAGAUCUUUCUUUCAUAGAAGGACUUGCCAGUAGGUGCGGGGUCGGAUAAGCCGGUCAAGGUCUGGCAGAGUAGAAAGAAAGGGAUGGAAGGUGAGACUUUCCAUUUUCUAUCCUCACCCUCACGGAGAGGCAUAAGAUCCGAAUUCGAGAGAAGACUUCCAGUGCGAAUUCUCUUUUUCACUAGGUUUUGAUUAUCUUUCAUUCUCACUUCAAACUACUAAGAAAAAAUGGGGAAAGGAUUAAGAUGGGAUACGGACCCAAAAAGAAAGAAUAGGCGCUGAUCCAGAGAACAAAGAGAGAAGAAGUGAUUUUCCUUUCCGGGAUUCUCCCUGAAUCCACCCUGUAUUUUUCCUUGGGUCAUCGUCCUUUCCGUAGGUUGAAGGUAAGAUGGAUGACGAGGAUAAGUUCUUUAUGAUCUUUUUUCAUUCUUUCUACUUCCAGUAAUAGGCAUCGGAAUGAGACCGGGGCCGAGUGGGGGAUUGAGCUAAAGCGAGAGGCGCAAUGAAAUAUGCGUGACACGUAGGGGUCGAUUGAGACGGAGUCAAGAUUGCUACUUAUUCAUUCUAAUAUGCCGAGUCAAAACGACUUAUAUAAAAGAAUAUAUAUUUUCAGGUUUUUUAUUCGGGUCUAUAACUAGAAUCAUCAUACAAUGAUCGGCUUUCCAAAGGUCAUGAGCGAAGACAGAAGAAGCUAUCCAAUGGGCAGGUAGAGUAUGAAUUCCCAGUCUAGAUUUGAGAGAUUUAGAAUCUUUCUAAUAUAAAGAGAAUGCAGUAGACGAAGGAGGGUGAGAGAAAGAGCGCAUGAUCGGGUCUAUAUAGCGGAAUCGAGGAUGAACUUUGCCGAGGGGAUCAAAAAGGUAAUGAUAAAGGUGGCCUCACCCGUAUUCAGUUUAGUUCUUUCGACAGGUAAGCGAUUGGAGCAUACUUUCCACGGAAAGGGAAGGAUAAGAAAUUCGGAACCGGAUAGUCAAUCCGAGGUCAGGUCCAGUUGAGUGGCGAGUACUCCUUGCUCUUCCGGUUGCAGGAGAAGUUUCCUCUUGCAGCUUCCUUCAUCCGCAUCAUCCGUCGGCCUCAUUCAAGAUUUAUGGAUUUCUUGAGGAUCUACCACUUGAAAGGAUAUUCCAUCCGGCAUGGAACCAUCUGUCGGCAGCUAUAACUAAUAGGAGAAGGGGGAAGGGGUACAGGCAAAAGUCUUCGGAAAGCAUAGAGAAGAGGAGAAAGAAGAAAGUGAUCAGGAUGAAAGCAAGAGCUUACGAUUGAUCUUAGGCUAGUCCCAUUCUACUCACUCAGGAAAAUAGAAGCGCUCGGCUAUGGGAAUAGUUCUAGGGCUAGCCCUAUCAUUUGACGAGAUGAUAAUAAUAUCCCUUCUGACCUAAAUCAAAAAAGACUAUUCAUAAAGCCAAGGUUCAAAGAAUUUGAGUAAUUAUUCAUGAAAUUCCUUUGACUUCUCCUUCUCUUUCGAUAAGAAAGCUCUUCUAUCAUUUCUUUGGGCUGAUCGGUAAGUUGAUCUCUUUCAUUCGGACAAAACCCCCCGAGACUGAUCAUUCCCCGAGGUCCUCGAACCAGGCGCUUACUCUCAUUCUAAGAGUGAAGAGAAGAAUUCCCAUUCCUCUCUACCCCCACUACGCGGUCUUCAGUCGACCCCACUACGCGCUUCUUCCAUCCCUUGCUGGAUAAGAAGUGGUCUUUUCUUGCUUGAGUAUGCAUGCCUCAUCCUAAGACCAAGGCCAAUAGCCCCAGCGGUUUCACUCAAUUCCAUGCCAUGGGAAAUACGUUCAUUAGAAUAAAAGGAUAAAGAGUUCAAUGCCAGCGCAAAUCCUGAUAUUCAAGACCAACCUCGACCUCGUAACCGCUCCCUCGGUCUCACCCCUGCUACAACUUUUCUAUCUUGCGCUUGCACGGAGCGAAAUCCAGUAAUAAGAAGAGCAGAAAUAGACCUCAUAUAUAAGUCAUUCUUCUCUCAGAGUACAGUAAUUAGUUCAUUAUUAACCUGGUGCAAAAAAAAGAUAUUAUAAUAAGAAAGAAGAAGACCUCAAAUUCUUUGAGCCGUCCGGAGGACCAAAAAGAAAGGUCCAGGGUCCAGAGUCCGGAGUCCGCAGUCCGCAGGGCCAAAGAAAGGUCCAGGGUCCUACGUCCGGAGGAUUCUUAUCCGUAGGACUAUCCAUAUGGAAGUAGGACUAUCCAUUAUCUGUAGGACUAUCCGUAAUUAACCGAACUUUGCACUGGGGCAUAAUCUUUCGUUUUAUUAUUAUUAGCUUAUCAAAAAGAAAUGACUAGUUACCGAAAGGACUGAUAGUGCAUCCGCACAAAAUUAGGAAAGGGGUGCUCUUUGAACCUCGCAAUAUUCUUUGCACCUGGUGUAGCUGACUCUGGAUCUGAGACGGCUACUGCCCUCGUCCUGGGACGGACUCGGACUGAUGGGACUGAUUCCCGGAGGCGUCUUGAAACUCAUUCUACGUCAGCGACUGUCUUCUUCAACCUCGGCUGCGACAGACCCAGGCCGAUCCAUCCGACCCAAAGCCUAGAUCUACCGACUCCUAUCCCUCUCCGGGACCGCAGUCCACUAUUGGGCGUCCGGUUUGAGAUAAAGAAGAAGAAGACAGAGAUUCUUGUCCACUCCCGAACUAAAGAGAGAAUUGAGUGAGAUUAAAUACGAUAUUAGGAAAUGGGGAUUCUAUCUGAUAAUUGGGAUUCUUUGUCUAUUAUUUUGGUUCUUGUCCGAUCCGCUGCUAAGACUCGAGCGAAGCAAGUCCUUCGCCUCAAUGAACUUUCCGAAGUCAGGACCGUAGGCAAGGGGCGAAGCCAAGCGAAAGGAGCGCAAACUGGAGAUACUACAUCUCGUCCUACGCACGGGAGCGCAAAGCGAGGAGGACUCUUCAGUCUAAACCUACUAUUUGGAAGAAAGCCUCAACCCCCACUACGCUACAGAGAAGACGCCAAAAAUCAAGGUCCAGGCGCCAUAAGACAGGGAUAUUCUUGUCUCCUUCUAAGAAAAAUCAGUCCAUCAUAUCUUCUUAUUUCUUUCUAGGCUUCGCCAUUCUCGUAUUAGCAGCUCGCUCUUAUUCAUUCAAUAGUUGUCCUUCUCUGAUUAUUAGUUUCGCAGGUGCAACUCAACCGGAGAAAUCAGACUCAAGAUCAAUAAGAACAUAAGCUCAGCAGCUCUGAUUAUUUUAUUAGUUUCGCAGGUCUUCUUAUUAUAUUAGAGAAAGAGGGGCGAAGCGAAUAGUCGUGCAAGAGAAGAGAUCUCAUUUUUUCGACUGAAGGAAGGUUCGGAGACGUAGUCGAUGAGAUAGAAAAGGGGAAAAGUGCAUUAUCAUAAGGAAAACAGAGUUUACGAAGUUGAGCGAGAGGGACUAGGCACAAACUAUCUAUAUAGAGCCGUUAUGAGUUAGAUUGCUUUCACUCGAUAAUGUGUACAAAAGCAUAAAGAAUCUAUUUCAUGAGUUUGAGCUAUAGGGGAAGCUAUAAAUAGAAAACAAGAGGACUCAAGGCUCGACCAGUUCCGGUAGCUCGCUCUUCUUCUUUCAGUAGCCGUCAGUUGUUCCAGCUGAGUCAAGCUAUCUUACUUGCUCUUUUUAGUGAAAUCGGU
Molecule: long non-coding RNA, 17929 nt
Filed under: Cucumis sativus (cucumber)
Lineage: Eukaryota; Viridiplantae; Streptophyta; Magnoliopsida; Cucurbitales; Cucurbitaceae
Description: long non-coding RNA (CSAT_LNC000005)
Source: RNAcentral